This 259-nucleotide ribosomal RNA is filed under the name uncultured prokaryote. Its description in RNAcentral is "partial 16S ribosomal RNA". It matches the Rfam family "Bacterial small subunit ribosomal RNA", at positions 524 to 782 of the family's 1533-position model. The record is from RNAcentral.
UACAUAGGGUGCAAGCGUUGUCCGGAAUUAUUGGGCGUAAAGAGCUCGUAGGUGGUUCGUCACGUCGGAUGUGAAACUCUGGGGCUUAACCCCAGACCUGCAUUCGAUACGGGCGAGCUUGAGUAUGGUAGGGGAGUCUGGAAUUCCUGGUGUAGCGGUGGAAUGCGCAGAUAUCAGGAGGAACACCAAUGGCGAAGGCAGGACUCUGGGCCAUUACUGACACUGAGGAGCGAAAGUGCGGGGAGCGAACAGGAUUAGA